This 253-nucleotide ribosomal RNA is filed under the name uncultured bacterium. RNAcentral describes it as "partial 16S ribosomal RNA". It matches the Rfam family "Bacterial small subunit ribosomal RNA", at positions 524 to 776 of the family's 1533-position model. The record is from RNAcentral.
GACGGAGGAUGCAAGCGUUAUCCGGAAUUAUUGGGCGUAAAGCGUCCGCAGGUGGCACCUCAAGUCUGCUGUCAAAGACCGGGGCUUAACCCCAGAAAGGCAGUGGAAACUGAAGUGCUAGAGUGCAGUAGGGGUAGAGGGAAUUCCCGGUGUAGCGGUGAAAUGCGUAGAGAUCGGGAAGAACAUCGGUGGCGAAAGCGCUCUGCUGGACUGCAACUGACACUCAGGGACGAAAGCUAGGGGAGCGAAUGGG